Triticum dicoccoides is the source of this 390-nucleotide long non-coding RNA. RefSeq lists it as uncharacterized. The record is from RefSeq and is a predicted model, not a curated record. The transcript is spliced from 2 exons. NCBI's taxonomy places the organism in Eukaryota, Viridiplantae, Streptophyta, Magnoliopsida, Poales, Poaceae.
GGUCGCCUCAUACAAGCUUUUGCAGGCCAUCUCCAGUUCCAUUUGGAGGUUAUUGCAAAUAUCUGCAAUGAGGGCAUGUUGGUUCCACCCUUGCACCAGGACUAGUCGAAUUAUAGGCCAAGGCCUGCAGGAUAACAGAGAAAUGCGAAGGCAGGCUUUCAUUUGAAGCAAAUGUGAUUCUUCCGGUCUUGGUAGAGUAGAUGGCUGUGGUCGGUGGUAGUAAAACGAAUGGUGGAAUUGUUGUUAUAAGUGUUUUACCUCCUUGCGGGUCUAUCUGCAGAUAACAUGUUUUGCAGUAGUCUUAUCUUGAGACCUUUGACUUGAUGCAGUAUCUGCAGAUAACAUGUUUUGUAGUAGACUUAUUUUGAAUGGCGUUGAGGCAGUACAUCA